Molecule: ribosomal RNA, 496 nt
Filed under: uncultured bacterium
Lineage: Bacteria
Description: partial 16S ribosomal RNA
Rfam family: Bacterial small subunit ribosomal RNA
Source: RNAcentral
AUGAACGCUGGCGGCGUGCCUAAUACAUGCAAGUCGAGCGAACAGAUGAGGAGCUUGCUCCUCUGACGUUAGCGGCGGACGGGUGAGUAACACGUGGAUAACCUACCUAUAAGACUGGGAUAACUUCGGGAAAACGGAGCUAAUACCGGAUAAUACAUUGAACCGCAUGGUUCAAUAGUGAAAGACGGUUUUGCUGUCACUUAUAGAUGGAUCCGCGCCGCAUUAGCUAGUUGGUAAGGUAACGGCUUACCAAGGCAACGAUGCGUAGCCGACCUGAGAGGGUGAUCGGCCACACUGGAACUGAGACACGGUCCAGACUCCUACGGGAGGCAGCAGUAGGGAAUCUUCCGCAAUGGGCGAAAGCCUGACGGAGCAACGCCGCGUGAGUGAUGAAGGUCUUCGGAUCGUAAAACUCUGUUAUUAGGGAAGAACAAAUGUGUAAGUAACUAUGCACGUCUUGACGGUACCUAAUCAGAAAGCCACGGCUAACUACGUG